This 508-nucleotide ribosomal RNA is filed under the name uncultured bacterium. RNAcentral describes it as "bacterial SSU rRNA". It matches the Rfam family "Bacterial small subunit ribosomal RNA", at positions 28 to 523 of the family's 1533-position model. The record is from RNAcentral.
GACGAACGCUGGCGGUGUGCUUAACACAUGCAAGUGGUGCGACGAACCAGAGCUUGCUCUGGGGCAAAGCCGCGAACGGGUGAGUAACACGUGGGUAAUCUACCCCGAUGACCGGGACAACCCGAGGAAACUCGGGCUAAUACCGGAUGUGGUACGGAGACAUAAGUCUCUUUACUAAAGGUAGCUUCGGCUUCCGCAUUGGGAGGGGCCCGCGGCCCAUUAGCUAGUUGGUGGGGUCAAGGCCUACCAAGGCAACGAUGGGUAGCUGGUCUGAGAGGACGAUCAGCCACACUGGGACUGAGACACGGCCCAGACUCCUACGGGAGGCAGCAGUGGGGAAUCUUGCGCAAUGCGCGAAAGCGUGACGCAGCAACACCGCGUGAGGGAAGACGGCCUUAGGGUUGUAAACCUCUUUCAGAUGGGACGAAGGUGAUGCGGUGAAUAGCCGAUGUCAUUGACGGUACCGUCAGAAGAAGCUCGGCUAACUACGUGCCAGCAGCCGCGGUAA